ACGGGAGGCAGCAGUGAGGAAUAUUGGUCAAUGGGCGGAAGCCUGAACCAGCCAUGUCGCGUGCAGGACUACGGCCCUACGGGUCUUAAACUGCUUUUGAUUGGGGAUAAAGUGGGGGACGCGUCCCCUAUUGCAGGUACCAAUCGAAUAAGGAUCGGCUAACUCCGUGCCAGCAGCCGCGGUAAUACGGAGGAUUCGAGCGUUAUCCGGCUUUAUUGGGUUUAAAGGGUGCGUAGGCGGGCUGUUAAGUCAGCGGUGAAACCCCCGGGCUCAACCCGGGGACUGCCAUUGAAACUGGCGGCCUAGAGUACGGUGGGAGUGCGCGGAAUGGGUGGUGUAGCGGUGAAAUGCAUAGAUAUCGAACAGAACGCCGAUCGCGGAGGCAGGUCACCAAGCCGCAACUGACGCUGAGGCACGAAAGCGCGGGGACCGAACAGGAUUAGAUACCCUGGUA
RNAcentral lists this ribosomal RNA (454 nucleotides) under uncultured Porphyromonadaceae bacterium. RNAcentral's name for it is "partial 16S ribosomal RNA". It matches the Rfam family "Bacterial small subunit ribosomal RNA", at positions 341 to 792 of the family's 1533-position model. Lineage: Bacteria; Pseudomonadati; Bacteroidota; Bacteroidia; Bacteroidales; Porphyromonadaceae. The record is from RNAcentral.